Molecule: non-coding RNA, 81 nt
Organism: Cordylochernes scorpioides
Lineage: Eukaryota; Metazoa; Arthropoda; Arachnida; Pseudoscorpiones; Chernetidae
Source: the annotation of a GenBank genome assembly
GUCCAGGGAUGGGAAUCGAACCCACAGUGUUCCGCUUACCAGGCAGAUGCCAUGUCCUACCCUGGACAUGGGUACCCUGGA